UGUUCAUUGUAAAUAUCGAAA
RNAcentral lists this non-coding RNA (21 nucleotides) under Caenorhabditis elegans. The record is from RNAcentral. Lineage: Eukaryota; Metazoa; Nematoda; Chromadorea; Rhabditida; Rhabditidae.